UUAUGUUUUAAAACAUGAUUAUUCUUAAAAAAAUUAAACUAAGAGAACCUGAUUAAACCGAACCGAAACACAAAUCAAACCGAAUAAAAAUCGAACCAAAACUGAUCCAAACCAAAUUAAUUAUGGUUUACUUCAGCUAUAAAAAAUUCUAGAACCGAAUUGACCAAACCAAACCGAUAAAAUUACCUAAGUGCCCACAUUUGUUACCACAUGAUUUAAUACUUUUAUAUAUCCCACACAUCUAAAAUAAUAAUGGCCUGGGCCUAUUUAAGUUUAAUGAGAAGUAUAUGUUGCACAAAAAAAUAAUAUCCCACACAUCUAAAAUAAUGUUCGAGCAACCAACUGUGCCUAAAACCUAUCAAUUAUUCCACCAACUUUAUGUGUACUUCGAUACUUCUCUUUACAAAGGGAGUCGAACCUCAUUGUGUUUCAAAACAUAAUCCCAAGUUGCAUUGUUUAUAAGAGUCGAACCUCCUUGAGUUUCAAAACAUAAUUCCAAGACGCAUUAUUUAGGAGCGCAUUGAUUUGUUUAUAUAUAACAUUUUCUCAUUCCCUAACACUUUUUGCUUCAUCAUACGGUAAUGAUUCAUCCUCGUAUAAUAGUAUGAGUACAUUUCAAUAAUUGAUCUGAAAUUUUCUACCUCUAAUCUUCUUAUUUUCUACCUCUAAUCUUCUAAUUUUGGU
RNAcentral lists this long non-coding RNA (684 nucleotides) under Brassica napus (rape). RNAcentral describes it as "long non-coding RNA (BNAP_LNC006327)". The record is from RNAcentral. Lineage: Eukaryota; Viridiplantae; Streptophyta; Magnoliopsida; Brassicales; Brassicaceae.